CACACGUUUCGGUGAAGAUGCAGCGCUCCUAUCUGUUUGCACUCUUGCCAGUUGUGCUGACUCUCUUUCUAGUCGGGAUGGUUUUCUCCAAUGAACGAAACGCUCAAAUAAAUUGUAAUCCAGCAAGCGGGUCCUGCCUUUUUCCUGAUGUGUGCGAGUGUCCACCACCGACGGAAGACAAAGAACACGGAACUCUAAUGUAUACCUUCGAAAAGGCUACCAACUCCUGCCGCUCUAUCAAAGGAAAGAACGACAGCUGUAACAGCUUUCUUCUGCCACAAGGUUGUGACUACUUCUGUGGCUCAUCAGACGAAUACCCUGAAUACUAGACAACGCAUGACGGGACAAUGACAAAAACAGCUCCAGGUGCACAUAACACAGCUGAAUAAACACUUUAUUUGAAAAUUGUA
Molecule: non-coding RNA, 410 nt
Organism: Dermacentor andersoni
Lineage: Eukaryota; Metazoa; Arthropoda; Arachnida; Ixodida; Ixodidae
Source: RefSeq, a predicted model, not a curated record